AUGGCGGCCGGUCUCCAGGUGUUCGGGCAGCCGGCGUCGACUGACGUGGCCCGGGUGCUCACCUGCCUCUUCGAGAAGAACCUUGAGUUCGAGCUCGUCCGCAUCGACACCUUCAAGAGGGAGCACAAGCUGCCCGAGUUCAUCAAGCUAAGGGAUCCUACCGGGCAGGUGACCUUCAAGCAUGGUGACAAGACCCUUGUUGAUUCAAGGGCGAUAUGCCGGUACCUGUGCACCCAGUUCCCGGAGGACGGCAACCGCGGGAUCUACGGCACGGGGUCGCUGGAGCGCGCGUCCAUCGAGCAGUGGCUGCAGGCGGAGGCCCAGAGCUUCGACGCGCCGAGCUCGGAGCUCGUCUUCCACCUGGCCUUCGCGCCGCAGCUCAACAUGCUCCCCGACGAGGCCCGCAUCGCGGAGAACGAGCGGAAGCUGCAGCAGAUGAUCGGAGUCUACGACGAGAUCCUCGCCAAGAACCAGUACCUCGCCGGCGACGAGUUCACGCUCGCCGACCUCUCCCACCUGCCGGCCUCCCACUACAUCGCCGGCUCCCAGCGGGGCCGGAAGCUCUUCACCUCCAAGAGGCACGUGGCCAGGUGGUACGACGCCAUCUCCAGCCGCCCCUCGUGGCAGCAGGUGGUCAAGAUGCAGCACGAGCACCCCGGCACCUUCGAGUGA
RNAcentral lists this ribosomal RNA (672 nucleotides) under Triticum aestivum (bread wheat). RNAcentral's name for it is "partial small subunit ribosomal RNA". Lineage: Eukaryota; Viridiplantae; Streptophyta; Magnoliopsida; Poales; Poaceae. The record is from RNAcentral.